UGUUUUGAAACUGAAAGCAGACGGUGGGAAGGUGUACAAGAGCUGUAGUUGAUUGGGAAGACGUGUCACACUUGGAGUCAGCGUUUUUCUGAUUAAUAACACACUAUAUAAAAAUGUUAUGUGGCAAAUGUUGUCAGUCCACAGUUAGAAUAUGUGGGGCGUGUGGAAUAGCAUUGCACAGUUCGAAGAAAACAGUUUUCUUGUCUUCACUCAGGAACUUAACAGUAACUAAAAUAUUAAAAGACGCCGAACCAAGUACAGCAAGUGGUCGCAAAAAUCCUCUUUGGCGGAAACAUCAGUUCAGCAUCCAGAAAGGACCCGGCUUAAAGGAUUUUUUGCAAGGAAACCUACCGAGUGAUACACAUAGAGUAGCAAUUACGGAACUCCCAUACGUUGCCACAGAACAUUUCAGUGGACAUGGAAGGAAGGUAUACUUUGAUGUCUAUGGAUGCCAGAUGAAUGUGAAUGACACUGAAAUAAUUUGGUCAGUUCUAAAGGAUGUAGGAUUUACAAAAACAGAUAGUCUCACAGAUGCAGAUGUAGUCCUUGUAGUUACGUGUUCCAUCCGUGAAGGAGCUGAAACUAAGAUCUGGAAUAAAUUACAAUACCUAAAAGGUAUUAAUAAUACAAGAAUGAAAACGAAGGAGAAACCACCAAUGAAAAUAGGAAUACUAGGUUGUAUGGCAGAACGACUGAAGUUCAAACUUUUGGAGCGUGAACAGUGUGUUGAUAUCAUUGCCGGUCCCGACAGUUACCGUGACCUUCCAAGGUUAUUGGCAGUUACUGAUACUGGACAAGCUGCAGUGAAUGUGCUGCUGUCAUUAGAUGAAACAUAUGCAGAUAUAAUGCCAGUUCGCCUUAAUCAAGAUGCAGUAACAGCUUUUGUAUCUAUAAUGCGUGGCUGUGACAAUAUGUGUACCUAUUGUAUUGUUCCUUUCACAAGAGGAAGAGAACGGUCACGGCCAGUGGAUUCCAUAUUGGCUGAAGUGCGACAGUUAUCAGAACAGGGUAUCAAAGAAGUAACCCUCCUGGGUCAGAAUGUGAACAGCUACCGUGAUUUGUCAGCAAUUGAUCAUAAUGGUGGUAUACCUGAUGAAGAAACACAUCUUGCAAAGGGGUUUCGCACAGUCUACAAGAACAAGAGAGGAGGGCUCAGGUUUGCCGAUCUGCUGGACAAGAUUUCUCUUGUUAAUCCUGAAAUGAGAAUACGAUUUACUUCUCCACAUCCCAAGGAUUUUCCUGAUGAGGUUCUGCAAUUAAUUCAUGAGCGACCAAAUAUUUGUCGCAGUCUGCAUCUUCCUGCACAGAGUGGAAGCACGAAAGUUCUAGAACGCAUGCGACGUGGCUACUCUCGUGAAGCCUACCUUGAACUAGUGGAUCAUGUUCGUCAAAUGGUUCCAGGAGUUGCACUAUCCAGUGAUUUUAUUUGUGGCUUUUGUGGUGAGACAGAAGAAGAAUUUCAAGAAACGCUUGAUCUGAUCACAAGAGUGAAAUACAAUACAGCUUUCCUGUUUCCAUACAGCAUGAGAGAGAAAACGACUGCUCAUCGAAGGUUUGAUGAUGACGUACCACCAGAAGUAAAACAAAGACGACUGAUCGAAAUGGUUUCUGCAUUUCGUGAUGAGGUUUACAAAUUAAACCAAGAGAAAAUUGGACAAGUUGAGCUUGUUUUAGUGGAAGGUCCAAGUAAGAGGUCAGUGAAGAAUUUAGCUGGAAGGAAUGAUGGAAAUGUCAAAGUUAUCUUUCCUGCUACAGAAAUCCCUCAAAGCAAGAUGUCAUCACAGAGGAAACAGGUUGUGCCUGGUGACUACGUUGCAGUUUUGAUAGAAGAAGCUAGUUCUCAGGUCCUCAAAGGUCAUCCAUUGUAUCAUUCAUCAUUAGUUAAUCAUCUGUGUGACAGUAGAGAGAAUACGCAGAGAAAUACAGGAAUGGCUUAAAAGGAGAUCAAUGUUUUUCAGGUUUUGGAGGGAGAAAACAGAAAUUCGCAGUACAAGUUAUUUAACAAAGAGUGUGAGACCUGAUGUGAUAGGAUCUGAAGUGAACCUCAGCUGGGUACCAUAAUAAGAUGAGGAUGGCUUCAUGAGAUACUGAGUUAUGCUUACAGUAAACAGAAGAGAAAAAUAUUGUGAAAGUGCAACCUGAAAUGUCAACUAAAUGAAAUAUGACUGCUGAUGAACUUUCUACAGAUGAAUAGCAGAUUGGAAUGAUAAUUAAUUUUCAUAGUUAAGACUUUUGCUCACUUCACCUCGAGUUUUUGUUUCUGUGUCUUGAACAUUAUUUUUGAGAAAAUAAGUAAAUGUUUUUAUCAGAA
RNA transcript from Schistocerca cancellata (South American locust), 2311 nucleotides. It is a transcript of the gene named CDK5RAP1-like protein, with no coding region annotated. The transcript is spliced from 11 exons. The record is from RefSeq and is a predicted model, not a curated record. NCBI's taxonomy places the organism in Eukaryota, Metazoa, Arthropoda, Insecta, Orthoptera, Acrididae.